UUAACAUUCAAUGAAAUUGGCCAGACAUCUUCAUUGGUCCUUUGAAAGUGACGUCAUGUCGCAUCAAUUACCACAAUGCACAGCACCUUGACCUGAGAGAAAUUAAAACAAUAUGUGGAAGAAAAUGAAGGAGCAUGAUUCAGCUGUGAAUACAGUCCAAAAUCAUCUACAGGAUCAAGAGCACCCGUGGCUUUACCUUAGCAAAUUAUUUUCUUGUAGUGAUAUUAGCAAGGAUUCAUACAAGAUGAAAUGUAUCUUUAUCUCCCACUCACCAAGGAAAUGCCUGCCUUCAAAAAUUCGCCAUCAAACGUAAAGAAGCUUAUUGAGAGAAUGCACCCAAAUCACCUCAAAAACUACUCUAAAUUGACAGCACAGAAGAGAAAGAUCAGGACCUUCACCCAUGCUUCCAGCAGUAAGCAAGUAAAAGUACUGAGUAUCAGAUCAGUGCAUCUGUAAUUGCAAGCACAGUAGAUUGUUGAACUGCACAUAGAAAAUCAUUCAUUGGUGUAACUGCUUACUGGAUAAAUCCUAAAAGUCUGGCAAGAUAUUCUGCUGCACUUGCCUGCAAAAGAUUAAAGGGCUCUCAUACUUUUGAGGUACUGGCUAGUGCUUUAAAUGAUAUCCACUCAGAGUAUGAAAUACGCGACAAGGUUGUCUGCACAACCACAGACAGUGGUCCCAAUUUCUGAAGGCUCAGAGUUUUAGGAGCAGAAAACUAUUAAUUUAAAACUGAAGCAGGCAAGUGUGAAAGUGAUGACAACACUGAUUCUGAAGGCUGUGGUGAGGGAAUUGAUGAUGUGGAAUCCCAAGAUUCUCUUCUUCUGGACCAAGAUGAUGGCUUUGAAUUCCAGCUACUAAAACAUCAAAAAUGUGCCUGCCACAUAUUUAACCUAGACUCAAGUGUUGAUGCCCAAAGAGCUCUCUCAAAUGAACACUACAAAAAUUCAACUUUUAUGGCUGUUGACAGAAUCCUCCAAAUUUGCAAAGAAGCAGGAGAAGGCGCACUUAGGAAUAUAUGCAUCUCUCUUGAGGUACCAGUGUUUAAUCCAGCAGAAAUGCUGUUCUUGAUGGAGCGGGCCAGCACAAUGCAUCCAGUUGCAGAAGUACUGAACAUCUUGCAAGCAGAAACAAAUACACAGCUGGGGUGGCUGAUGCCAAGUGUUCAUCAGUUAAGCUUGAAACUUCAGCGACUCAACCAUUCUCUCAGGUACUGUGGACCACUUGUGGACGCCCUUCAACAAGGAAUCCAAACACGAUUCGAGCACAUGUUUGAAGAUGCUGAGGUCAUCACCGCUACCAUCCUUCUCCCUAAAUUUCAGACCUCUUGGACAAAUGAUGAAACAUCAUAAAAAGGGUAAAUUA
Long non-coding RNA from Cyprinus carpio (common carp), 1362 nucleotides. RefSeq lists it as uncharacterized. The transcript is spliced from 3 exons. The record is from RefSeq and is a predicted model, not a curated record. NCBI's taxonomy places the organism in Eukaryota, Metazoa, Chordata, Actinopteri, Cypriniformes, Cyprinidae.